UUGUGUUAUGAGAAACUUUUUUUGAGUUACCAUGUACGACUUGCACAUUAUGUUUUCGGUUGUGCAAGUUAGUAGGGUUUUUUGUUCGAGAGUUGACUCUGCACAGCUUGUAUCAAUAUGUGCAUUUUAGCAAAGGAUUUUCAGUGUUUUUUGUUAGAGAGUUGACUUGCACAUCAUUUCUCAUCAUGCGCAACUUAGUAUGGUUUCCAUUUUCAGUGUUUUUUGUUUUAAUCUGAUGUGAAUUUUUUAUGUGCUUUUUAGUACAUUAUAAAGAGUGGUAAGUUGCACAUUAUUAACAAGGUGUUAUUUUUUGAGUUUUGUUUUCACCCCCGAUGGUGACUUUUAUGUAAAUCACCUAGUGUUUUUUUUUCAUGUACACGCCGCAAAAUUCCAGAUGGUGAGAUAGGUCUAAUAAGUUGAAGGAAGGAAAUUCAUUUUUCAACCUAAUUUUGAAUUCAGUACAUAAUAUCUCUUUAUUUUUUGCAAUUAAGUUUUUUCUACAUCCAUUAGGAACAAAAACAAAAACAAAUAAAACUAUACAACCCAUUCUUAGAAGUCCAACUAACAGCCCAACAAUCACAAAGCCCAGUUCACACCACAAAAACAAAACCAAACAGCAGGCCCAAACCCGUUGACUGGGAAAUAAGUAUUUCUCAGUCAACUGAUCAAUAGGCGCGCCCAAAUUAAAUUACCGAAUUAAAUUUAGUUCUACGGAUAACAAG
RNAcentral lists this long non-coding RNA (722 nucleotides) under Brachypodium distachyon (stiff brome). Its description in RNAcentral is "long non-coding RNA (BDIS_LNC000746)". The record is from RNAcentral. Lineage: Eukaryota; Viridiplantae; Streptophyta; Magnoliopsida; Poales; Poaceae.